GCCAAUUCCACAUCAACCUGAAAAUCAAGCCAUGAUUUUGCCAUGGCCCAGCAAGCAGACUCCCAAUCCAUACAUGUUGGAAGAAUACGUUUCAGAUUACUGCACUGGGCUGCAUAUACUGCUGCUUCAUACUUCCCACCAUCUUGAUCUGCAAUUCUCUCGGAAGCACAAUAGCAAGCCCAUUUCCAGAGACGCCAUUGAUGACCAAUUCCACUUUCCAGCUCAAUGGCCUGUAACGUUCUGUUCUUGCCAUUUCUCACUAGGGCUUCCAUGGAAGGAAACUGAUCAAACCUUCCGAAUGGAGAUAGUGUUGCAGCUCUCCAUGACUGUCCAGCUGACCGGCAGAGGCUACAUGCUUCUUCCAAUCUCCCUGCCCUUAACAGAGUCCAGACA
Molecule: unclassified non-coding RNA, 393 nt
Filed under: Hevea brasiliensis (rubber tree)
Lineage: Eukaryota; Viridiplantae; Streptophyta; Magnoliopsida; Malpighiales; Euphorbiaceae
Source: RNAcentral